CUCUUUUUUUUUUUUUUUUUUUGCUUCUGGUGCUGGGUCCCCAGUAGGGUCUUUCGAACGAGAGGCUCCUUUCAACACUUGUAUGUGUGUUUUUUCUACCUGCUGUUUUCUGUUUGGAACCGCAACUCACGUUCCCAUUAUUUGGCUGUUAGACCUUCUGGACUGAUCUUUUCUUUCAUGUCUCUCACACCUCCACCCAGUGUUUUUCACCUCCUUAUUUCUGUUUGUUCUCUUUCUGGCAAAGGAACUAGGAUGAACUUUACCUUCAAGUUCAUCCACGGAAAUUUUUAUUUUGGGUACUCUAUAUUUACUUCUAGAAAGCUCUUCUUUGCUCUGUGAUAAAUUCUUGUUUUAUGGGUCCAUUAUCUUAUUGUAUCUCUCCAAGGACAUCAUUUAGAAAACAUUUAAAAAACAUCCUGCGCACUCUGUUUUCCUUUCUUUCUUCCUUCCUUCCUUCCUUCCUUCCUGCCUUCCUUCCUCCUUCCUUAUUCCCUUCCUUCCUUCCUUCCUUCCUUCCUUCCUUCCUUCCUUCUUUCCUUCCCUCCUUCCCUUCCUUCCUUCCUUCCUUCCUUCCUUCCUUGUUUCCUUCCUUCCUUCUUUCCUUCUUUCCUUCUUUCCUUCUCUCUUCCUUCCUCCUUUCCUUCCUUCCUUCCUUCCUUUCUCAUUUCCUUCUUUAUUUCCUUCCUUCCUUCCUUCCUUCCUUCCUCCUUCCUUCCUUCUUUCCUUCCUUCCUUCCUUCUUCCUUCCUUCCUUCCUUCCUUCCUUCCUUCCUUAUUUCCUUCUUUAUUUCCUUCCUUCUUUCCUUCUUUCCUUCCUUCUUUCCUUCUUCCUUCCUCCUUCCUUCCUUCUUUCCUUCCUUCCUUCCUUCCUUCCUCAUUUCCUUCUUUAUUUCCUUCCUUCCUUCCUUCCUUCCUUCCUUCCUUCCUUCCUUCUUUCCUUCCUCCUUCCUUCCUUCCUUCCUUCCUUCCUUCCUUCCUUCCUUCCUUAUUUCCUUCUUUAUUUCCUUCCUUUUUUCCUUCCUUCCUUAUUUCCUUCCUUCCUUCCUUCCUUCCUUCCUUCCUUCCUUCCUUAUUUCCCUUCCGUCCUUCCUUCCUUCCUUCCGUCCUUCCUUCCUUAUUUCCUUCUUUAUUUCCUUCCUUCCUCCUUCCUUCCUUCCUCAUUUCCUUCUUUAUUUCCUUCCUUCCUUCCUUCC
Molecule: long non-coding RNA, 1192 nt
Filed under: Felis catus (domestic cat)
Lineage: Eukaryota; Metazoa; Chordata; Mammalia; Carnivora; Felidae
Description: lncRNA (ENSFCAG00000047299.1)
Source: RNAcentral